Molecule: long non-coding RNA, 1913 nt
Filed under: Heterocephalus glaber (naked mole-rat)
Lineage: Eukaryota; Metazoa; Chordata; Mammalia; Rodentia; Bathyergidae
Description: lncRNA (ENSHGLG00000041289.1)
Source: RNAcentral
CCUAGAUACGGCUCUCUGGACCUCCGAGCCGCCUGGUGGAGUCGGGGCCGAGACUUCCAGAACUCCUGAAGUUGGGCCGGGGAUUUAGCUCAGUGGUUUCGCCGCCGGCUGUGCAAGCUCAAAGACCUGAGUUCGAUCCCCGGUACCAAAACAAAAAAACAAACAAAAACUCCUGAAGUCACAAAUCCAUUCACCAAAUGAGGGUUUACGCAUGGCAUCCUGGGAUGGGAGAGACAAAGGUUCAGGCUCCUCUUUGAAUCGGAGAUGGGCAGCUUAGAGGCUCUCCUGUGCAGGCCCUCCUCCUGCCAGGCAUCCACUCUUCGGAAUCUCAGGGCUUCUUGGUGCACAGUUUGAAAACCACUGCUGCCAUGCUAAGAAUAUGGACUUUAGGGGUCAACCAGAGGGAAGACCUCAAGUUGUGUUCUGAUUCUGCCAUUUGUUUGCAAGUUUCUUGACUUCUCUGGACCUGAGUUUCCUUGUCUCUUAAACUGAUGAUCACAUCAGUACGGGUUGCACCAAUGAAUACCCCUGGUUGCCUGUGUGCAUUCUGCCACGUGCUGGGCAAGUGGUUACAUGGGAUUGAAAGUCAGUGAAUCCAAACUGAAGCAUCCUUUCACUCAAGCCAAUAGGGUUCCUGGCUCAUGUGAGUGAGGAGCAAAAAGAAUUUAGGUUCCACUUUCAGCUGUGCCUCUCACUGGCUGUGUGACCUUGGGCAGGUCACUUAACCUUCGUUUUGCCCCUCCGAGAAAUGAGGAUAGUCUUAUUUUCCACCUCAGAAAUCUAAAUGAGAUGACAUGUAAAAUAAGUCUAAGGCCCGAAUAGCAUUCACCAUCUUGCCAUCUCAAUGGCCGGUUCCCACCACACUGGGGGAGAGGGGUGUGCCCAGGUUGCCAACAGCAGAGUCCUUGCCCACCUGCUGCCAUGUCCUCCUCUCUGCCAGUCACACUUAACUUCCGAGCAGAGGCUGCUGGGAUCCAUGGAGCUUUGAGUGGAGGCAGAGGUCUGUCUGAUAUAGUUCCUACCCACACUGGCCAGGCACAGGUGCCCAGAGUUGGGGCAGGGGCUGGAAGGGAGCUGUUGUGAAGGGCAGGGAGGUAGAGGGGAGACAAGAUGCCCAAUUUGCAGCCCACUCUCCCACCCUUUUUUUGGGACAUGUCUCAAUGCAUUCCCCUCACCAACCCACUCAGGGAAACAGCUCACAGAGGGACAGGUAAAUCCACCUGUCACAGACUCCUUAGUUUCCUGGACAUAUAUGCACCUGCUGUCUCUGAACACCAAAGGCCAGGCGUGUUUAAGCCCAUUUGCAAGCUGAUGGAAAAAACGCUCUCCUAUGAGCUGGGACCUUGGCCUCUCCAGACCUGCUCUGUUUGAUUAUUUUGAUCAAAGAUGUAACAGACCUCUGUGGGUUUGCAGCAUGCUGGAGCUGGCCCUCAAGGGGUCCUCUGCCCUUUACAGUGCUCUGAAAAGGGCUGGUGACUGUCAGGCGGGUGUGGGCCAGAUUCAGCAUUAUCUUCAGCCCCUAGCCUGGAAGGGAGCUGGCCCGGGAGGGAGUUCAGGGAACAGAGUUUCUGGUAGGGGAGCCUGGCACAGCUGACCAGGGGCUGCUGUUCUCCAUCCCUCCAGGGACCUGCCAACUUACUGCCCUCUUCUUAGAAGUGGGCUCAGCUGCUACAGGCUGCUUCCAUGCUUGUAGGCAGCUGUGCUUCAGCCUGGCCUGGCUGCCCACCCCAUUCUCCAGGGCAGUGUAGGCGGGAGCCUAUGCUGCAGGAUAUCCAGGGCCAACACGAGCCAGUCCCAUUCAGGGGCUGUGAUGGAGAAUGGUGGAGCAAAAGAAUGCCCAGCAAGGCACUGACCUAUACUAUGAGAUCCUGCCUGCCCUGUCCCAGGGUGCAGAGGGAAUGGGAAAAUGAGAG